GUUAGAAUUGCUGAUCUCAGGUGGGGGCAUCGUUAACACAUUGCCAGGCUAUUAACGCAUGAUACAAGUGAGUGUGAAAAGGGCUCAGCCCAUGCGGGGGCUGUAAGAGGAGAGAGUCCUGCUGGCUGGGAGGGAUAGUUCAGAAUUUGUAUCCCACUUUUUUCUCAGAACAUUUUUUGCUUUUAUUUUUUUCUCCUGCUAGCAGCAGCCGUAACAAAACCUGUCCUUGCAAAGAAGUGAGUGUCAUCAAAGGUGACAACUUUUUUUUUCUUUUAACUUUUAAAUUAGCUAAAAGGCCUAGGCUGUUGAAAACUUGAUUAGAGAUUUUGUAUGCUUAAGGGGUCUUAACAGUGCGCUUUUACCCAGGUGGAGUCAGAGUACAAAGAGGAAGAAACCUCCGUUUGACACUGCCUCACUAAUCUCAGCAGUGUAUCACUCAUUAUUCUGCACAGGAUUAAAGGCUUUGCUGGGGCAGAUUCUUCAACUCAGAGACGUAAUCUUCCCACACCUGUCCUCAGCAUAUAUUUUCCUCAGAGAAAAAAGCUCUACAGGCUCUUUGUUCUACAAAAAAGAUCUGGAGAUAUCACCUGGUGUUUAUCUGUGACUAUGAAAUCCAUAAUCCUUACAGGUAAUUAUGUUGUCUGCCUAGAAGUUCUCACUUUUGAGGUUUGGUUGUUGGAUGAGCUGCUGAUUCUAAUAAAUCUGUUGGGAUUGUGAGGAA
This 721-nucleotide long non-coding RNA is filed under the name Serinus canaria (Common canary). Its description in RNAcentral is "lncRNA (ENSSCAG00000006624.1)". Lineage: Eukaryota; Metazoa; Chordata; Aves; Passeriformes; Fringillidae. The record is from RNAcentral.